GAUGAACGCUAGCGGCAGGCCUAAUACAUGCAAGUCGAGGGGCAGUCAAUCUUUCGGGAUUGAGCGACCGGCGCACGGGUGCGUAACGCGUAUGCAACCUACCCUGUACAGGGGGAUAGCCCGUGGAAACAUGGAUUAAUACCCCAUAAUAUUAUAAUAUCGCAUGGUAUAUUAAUUAAAGUUCCGGCGGUACAGGAUGGGCAUGCGUAUGAUUAGCUAGAUGGUGAGGUAACGGCUCACCAUGGCGACGAUCAUUAGCGGGUCUGAGAGGAUGAUCCGCCACACUGGUACUGAGACACGGACCAGACUCCUACGGGAGGCAGCAGUAGGGAAUAUUGGUCAAUGGACGAGAGUCUGAACCAGCCAUGCCGCGUGAGGGAAGACGGCCUUCUGGGUUGUAAACCUCUUUUAUCAGAGAACAAAAAGUCCCUGCGGGGAAAAUUGAGUGUAUCUGAAGAAUAAGCACCGGCUAACUCCGUGCCAGCCGCCGCCGUAACAC
RNAcentral lists this ribosomal RNA (499 nucleotides) under uncultured bacterium. RNAcentral's name for it is "bacterial SSU rRNA". It matches the Rfam family "Bacterial small subunit ribosomal RNA", at positions 28 to 526 of the family's 1533-position model. The record is from RNAcentral.